UACGAACUGCGCAAACGUUAUUCGGAAUCACUGGGCUUACAGGGUGCGUAGGCGGCCCACCAGGUCCGAUGUGAAAUCCCACAGCUCAACUGUGGAACUGCAUUGGAAACCGGCGGGCUUGAGUCAGCUAGAGGGACACGGAACUUCCGGUGGAGCGGUGAAAUGUGUUGAUAUCGGAAGGAACACCAGAGGCGAAAGCGGUGUCCUGGGGCUGGUCUGACGCUGAGGCACGAAAGCCAGGGUAGCGAACGGG
This 253-nucleotide unclassified non-coding RNA is filed under the name uncultured Planctomycetales bacterium. Its description in RNAcentral is "contains 16S-23S intergenic spacer region". It matches the Rfam family "Bacterial small subunit ribosomal RNA", at positions 524 to 776 of the family's 1533-position model. The record is from RNAcentral. Lineage: Bacteria; Pseudomonadati; Planctomycetota; Planctomycetia; Planctomycetales.